This 265-nucleotide non-coding RNA is filed under the name Candidatus Zhuqueibacterota. The record is from RNAcentral. Lineage: Bacteria; Pseudomonadati.
UAAAGUUAGAAUCGAUUUGGUACCUCAAGAGAGGUUUAAGGGAAGGCGGUGGAAUUCCGCCACAGCCCCGCUACUGUAAGUGGCUACGAAAGCUUUAAAAAACCACUGUCCCGAUCCAUAUGGAUGGCUGAUGAUUCAUGGCGAAGGGUUUUAACCAUGAACUAUGAACCGUGAACUGUGAACCGCAGUUCGCUGGGAUGGGAAGGCAAAGCAAGUAGGUUUGAAGCCACAAAGUCAGGAGACCUGCCAGAUCAAAUCCCUGAAG